Molecule: ribosomal RNA, 443 nt
Filed under: uncultured bacterium
Lineage: Bacteria
Description: partial 16S ribosomal RNA
Rfam family: Bacterial small subunit ribosomal RNA
Source: RNAcentral
CCUACGGGUGGCAGCAGUGGGGAAUAUUGGGCAAUGGGCGCAAGCCUGACCCAGCAACGCCGCGUGAAGGAAGAAGGCUUUCGGGUUGUAAACUUCUUUUCUCAGGGACGAAGAAAGUGACGGUACCUGAGGAAUAAGCCACGGCUAACUACGGGCCAGCAGCCGCGGUAAUACGUAGGUGGCAAGCGUUAUCCGGAUUUAUUGGGUGUAAAGGGCGUGUGGGGGGGAGCGGUAGUCAGAUGUGAAAAAUCAGGGCUCAAACCUGAGCCUGCAUUUGAAACUGUGUGUCUUGAGUGCUGGAGAGGCAAGCGGAAUUCGUGGUGUAGCGGUGAAAUGCGUAGAUAUACGGAGGAACACCAGUGGCGAAGGCAGAAUGCUGGACAGUAACUGACGCUGAGGCGCGAAAGCGUGGGGAGCGAACAGGAUUAGAUACCCCAGUAGUC